This 240-nucleotide ribosomal RNA is filed under the name Triticum aestivum (bread wheat). RNAcentral describes it as "partial small subunit ribosomal RNA". The record is from RNAcentral. Lineage: Eukaryota; Viridiplantae; Streptophyta; Magnoliopsida; Poales; Poaceae.
AUGGCGGCGGUGGAUCUGUCGAAGCUGGUGAAGGAGAAGCGCUUCUGGGCCGCCUCCUUCCUCAUCGCAUGGGCGGCGGCGCUCCAGGGGCACAUGAUGUGGUUGAAGCGGCAGGACGCCUUCAAGGACAAAUUCGGCGACCCCGAAGCCCCCAACAAGGUCACCGAGCAGCCGGCCGACGACAGCACCAGACUCGCCGGCGAGCAGGGGGAGCUCACCGCCGACGCCGAGAUCAGAUAG